This 253-nucleotide ribosomal RNA is filed under the name uncultured bacterium. Its description in RNAcentral is "partial 16S ribosomal RNA". It matches the Rfam family "Bacterial small subunit ribosomal RNA", at positions 524 to 776 of the family's 1533-position model. The record is from RNAcentral.
UACGGAGGGUGCGAGCGUUGUCCGGAAUCAUUGGGCGUAAAGGGCGCGUAGGUGGCCUGCUAAGCGUGCGGUGAAAGUCGGGGGCUCAACCCCCGAUCGGCCGUGCGAACUGGGAGGCUUGAGCACUGUAGAGGCAGGCGGAAUUCCGGGUGUAGCGGUGGAAUGCGUAGAGAUCCGGAAGAACACCGGUGGCGAAGGCGGUCUGCUGGGCAGUAGCUGACACUGAGGCGCGACAGCGUGGGGAGCAAACAGG